RNAcentral lists this ribosomal RNA (438 nucleotides) under uncultured bacterium. RNAcentral's name for it is "bacterial SSU rRNA". It matches the Rfam family "Bacterial small subunit ribosomal RNA", at positions 338 to 793 of the family's 1533-position model. The record is from RNAcentral.
CCUACGGGUGGCAGCAGUGGGGAAUAUUGCACAAUGGGGGAAACCCUGAUGCAGCGACGCCGCGUGAGUGAAGAAGUAUUUCGGUAUGUAAAGCUCUAUCAGCAGGGAAGAAAAUGACGGUACCUGACUAAGAAGCCCCGGCUAACUACGUGCCAGCAGCCGCGGUAAUACGUAGGGGGCAAGCGUUAUCCGGAUUUACUGGGUGUAAAGGGAGCGUAGACGGCAGCGCAAGUCUGGAGUGAAAUCCCAUGGCUUAACCAUGGAACUGCUUUGGAAACUGUGCAGCUAGAGUGCAGGAGAGGUAAGCGGAAUUCCUAGUGUAGCGGUGAAAUGCGUAGAUAUUAGGAGGAACACCAGUGGCGAAGGCGGCUUACUGGACUGUAACUGACGUUGAGGCUCGAAAGCGUGGGGAGCAAACAGGAUUAGAUACCCGUGUAG